GGUUCUAUGGUGUAAUGGUUAGCACUCUGGACUUUAAAUCUAGCGAUCUGAGUUCAAAUAUCGGUAGGACCA
RNAcentral lists this transfer RNA (72 nucleotides) under Danionella translucida. It matches the Rfam family "tRNA". Rfam says of the family: Transfer RNA (tRNA) molecules are approximately 80 nucleotides in length. Their secondary structure includes four short double-helical elements and three loops (D, anti-codon, and T loops). The record is from Rfam by way of RNAcentral. Lineage: Eukaryota; Metazoa; Chordata; Actinopteri; Cypriniformes; Danionidae. RNAcentral also lists the same sequence under 1 other name.